CACGUAGGGCGCAAGCGUUGUCCGGAAUUAUUGGGCGUAAAGAGCUCGUAGGCGGACUGUCACGUCUGCUGUGAAAUCCUUUGGCUCAACCAAAGAAGUGCAUUCGAAACUGGAGAGCUUGAGUACUUAAGAGGAUCGCGGAAUUCCCGGUGUAGAGGUGAAAUUCGUAGAUAUCGGGAGGAACACCAGUGGCGAAGGCGGCGAUCUGGGAAGAUACUGACGCUGAGGUGCGAAAGCGUGGGGAGCAAACAGG
RNAcentral lists this ribosomal RNA (253 nucleotides) under uncultured bacterium. RNAcentral describes it as "partial 16S ribosomal RNA". It matches the Rfam family "Bacterial small subunit ribosomal RNA", at positions 524 to 776 of the family's 1533-position model. The record is from RNAcentral.